AAAAUGUUAAGAUAAAAAAAAUCUAUUAGAUUGUGGUUCUAGAAAUAUUUUAUACAUUUUA
Molecule: transfer RNA, 61 nt
Filed under: Hirudo medicinalis (medicinal leech)
Lineage: Eukaryota; Metazoa; Annelida; Clitellata; Hirudinida; Hirudinidae
Description: tRNA-His
Source: RNAcentral